CCUACGGGGGGCAGCAGUGGGGAAUAUUGCACAAUGGGGGAAACCCUGAUGCAGCGACGCCGCGUGAGUGAAGAAGUAUUUCGGUAUGUAAAGCUCUAUCAGCAGGGAAGAAAUAGCGACCUUUGGGUCGCCAGACGGUACCCACAGAGGAAGCACCGGCUAACUCCGUGCCAGCAGCCGCGGUAAUACGGAGGGUGCAAGCGUUUUCCGGAAUCAUUGGGGGUAAAGAGUUCGUAGGCGGCAUGUAAAGUUAGGUGGUAAAGGCGCAGGCUCAACCUGUGUAUGGCACUUGAUACUUGCAAGCUGGAAUGCGGUAGAGGUAAAGGGAAUUCCUGGUGUAGCGGUGAAAUGCUUAGAUAUCAGGAAGAACAUCGGUGGCGAAGGCGCUUUACUGGGCCGUAAUUGACGCUGAGGAACGAAAGCCUGGGUAGCAAAUAGGAUUAGAUACCCCAGUAGUC
RNAcentral lists this ribosomal RNA (458 nucleotides) under uncultured bacterium. RNAcentral's name for it is "partial 16S ribosomal RNA". It matches the Rfam family "Bacterial small subunit ribosomal RNA", at positions 338 to 795 of the family's 1533-position model. The record is from RNAcentral.